RNAcentral lists this ribosomal RNA (480 nucleotides) under uncultured bacterium. RNAcentral describes it as "partial 16S ribosomal RNA". It matches the Rfam family "Bacterial small subunit ribosomal RNA", at positions 28 to 507 of the family's 1533-position model. The record is from RNAcentral.
GAUGAACGCUAGCGGCAGGCCUAACACAUGCAAGUCGAGGGAGAGGUUACCUUCGGGUAACCAAAACCGGCGCACGGGCGCGUAACGCGUAUACAAUUUGCCUUUCACAUAGGGAUAGCCAGAUGAAAUUUGGAUUAAUACCUAAUGGUAUAUAAGAGCGGCAUCGUUUUUAUAUUAAAGCUACGGUGGUGAAAGAUGAGUAUGCGUUCUAUUAGCUAGUUGGAGAGGUAACGGCUCCCCAAGGCGACGAUAGAUAGGGGUUCUGAGAGGGAUGUCCCCCACACGGGUACUGAGAUACGGACCAGACUCCUACGGGAGGCAGCAGUGAGGAAUAUUGGACAAUGGUCGGAAGACUGAUCCAGCCAUGCCGCGUGCAGGAAGAAGGUGCUAUGGAUUGUAAACUGCUGUUGUAAGGGAGGAAUAAGGUGUACGUGUACUUUGAUGACGGUACCUUACGAAUAAGCAUCGGCUAACUCCGUG